CGUUGUACGUUGGUGAUCGUGGGAGCCAGUAGUGUGCGUACUAGCGUUCGUGUUCCUCGCUGGAGAGCAGUGCGUUUUGUCACUCUCGCAGGAUCGCAACGGUGCACCAUUACUCGUUCCGAGUCGUCCAAGGGACAAUCUUGAUCAGGUUCUCCCGCGGUCAGAUUCGUCAUUUUGUGAAGUUAUCCGCGGAUACUUCGUGCGAUCCAAUUUGAAAUGGCGUUUGAUUCGCCGCGCAAACGACGCCUCUCCAGUGCCAGUGACGCCUAGUGCGACCGAGGGACACGCUAGCCGAUCAAUCCGUCCGAUCGCGUUUCUCCUACCGCUGUACGGCCUCGUUGCUGUUACGGGGUAAAAUCAUAUUUGGAAAAUGAGGAUUCGUCGGUGAGCCAUCCCCCUCGGUGCAACGGUCCCAACGAAACGAUCCGGAUCGAACUGGUUCCACGGACAAUCACAGGGUGCGAUGCGACGACGCAAACUGUCCUUCUUCCCCGUGGACCACGGGCCCGCGUUUUAACGUGGCGCUGCGAACGCAGGCGAAAAACAGCGAUGAACUUUCGCGGAGACUCGAUUCGUACGGCGGACCGUCCUGUCGCGUGUUGUUCUUGUGGUUGGUGCGCGUGUCCGCGCGGAGUGCCGUUCCGAGGGUGAAACGAGCGCGAUGAGAACGCCGACAAGAGUAACGAGGAUGGACGAAUUCGUGAAAUAGCCCGGUGGAGAGCGAGCGAGCCACGCCGUGUGCCGUGCCGUGCCGCACACCACGCCACGCUACGCCACGCCACGCCACGCCACGCCACGCCGCGCUUCACAGCUGCAGCUGCAAAACGAAAAUGUCGUGGGCCAGGAUAGCCAGUGCCGCUCAACUCGUGGCCGCAGUGGCUGUCAUCCUGCGGAUACUGCUCGCGUCCGCCGAUCCAAUCGCGUACACGGACGAGCUGACGUACGAGCAGACCACCUACACGGUGCCUGUCUCCUCAACGGAGAACGACAGCGACGUUUAUCGAGUGCCAACGAAACCAUUGAACCUGUCGUCGCACGGCAUCACCUCCACCACCAUCGAAUUGUCAUGGGCCGAGCCGGACUACGCCAAUGGCAUCAUUUCCGGUUAUCGCAUUUACUAUAUGCAUUCCAAUUACACAGACGUGCAAAUGUACAGGACCGGCGAGUACGAUGGACCGGUCAUCGAAUUCGUUUUAAAGGAACUGGAACCGUACAUCGAAUACAAGAUAUGGGUGAAGGCUUACACGUGGAAGAACGAGGGCGAGCCCUCGGAUCACAUCAUUCGUCGGACAGACAUCUCAGGACCCAGCGCGCCGUUGAUCUUGAACGUUACCUGCCCGACCCACGACUCCGUGUACAUCCAAUGGGCCAGGCCAAACAUCUUCUGGGGCUCGAUCGACUACUACUUCAUCAAUUAUCGGAUCGAGAACGACAAUCGAUUCGAGGAGAUCGAAGUGAUGACGGAAAAGAAUCACCUUGAGAGCGCGAUGAUCAUACCGAACCUGACGAUGAACAGCGUGUACGAGAUCGUGGUGCGCGGAGGCACGCGAAGCGCUAUCGACAAGAGGCUGGUGAUACGCGGAGAAGGCUCUGCUCCGCAGAAGGUGCGCGGUAUUCGCGAUUGCAACAGAGCACCGCCGUUAUUGCCACACAGCACCAUAUGGUUCAGCAGCGGAGUGAUUGCCGGGGUGAUUUGCGCUUGUCUAGCCGUGAUGCUGAUGAUCACGUCCUUCGUCCUAUGGAAGCCUUGCCUGAGGCCAAUUUUCAGGAAAUGCUUCCACACCGCGUACUACUUCCUCGACUAUCCGCCCCGCAAUGUGCCCACCCUUCAGGAAUGGGAGAACAGCGAGCAGGACGGGGAACGUACCGCGGUCGCCAUUCAGAAGUUUGUACAGCACGUCGCGAGCCUACAUGCGGAUGGGGACAUCGGGUUCAGCAAGGAAUACGAGUUCAUUCAAUCGGAGAGCGACAAGUUCACCGCGGAGAAUUCCCAAUAUGUUGAGAACAAAGCGAAGAAUCGAUACCUCAACAUACUGGCCUACGACCAUACACGAGUGCAAUUGUUAUCAUGCGGCGGAGGACCACCGAAGAAGGGUCACGAUUAUGUGAACGCGAAUUACAUCGACGGUUGGCAACGUUCGCGGGCUUACAUUGGUACACAGGGCCCAUUGCCACCGACUUUCGAUGGAUUCUGGCGUAUGGUGUGGGAACAGAGGGUAUCGAUCGUUGUCAUGAUCACCAAUCUCGUUGAACGUGGUCGUAAAAAAUGUGAUAUGUAUUGGCCUAAGAAGGGAUCCGAGACCUAUGGGUACAUUCAAGUGACUCUGCUAAGAGAGGAUGUUAUGGCUACGUACACCAUUCGUACUCUUCAAAUUCGUCACAUCAAGGUCAAGAAGAGGAAGAACGGUGUCAACAUGGGAGAACGUAUAAUUUGGCAGUACCAUUAUACUGGAUGGCCCGACCAUGGAGUACCGGAACAUCCGUUGCCGGUUCUGAGCUUUAUCCGGAAAUCUUCCAAUGCCAAUCCUCCGGAUGGAGGACCAAUCGUUGUCCACUGCAGCGCUGGCGUCGGGCGUACAGGUACCUACAUUGUUAUUGACGCCAUGUUGAAGCAGGCCAAGUGCAAGAACGAAGUAAACGUAUUUGGGUUCUUAAAGCACAUUCGCACACAGCGAAACUUCUUAGUUCAGACCGAGGAACAGUACGUGUUCAUUCACCAUGCUUUGCAAGAGGCUAUCGAAAGCGGUGAAACUAACAUCGAGGCAAACAGCCUACUAGAGUAUGUUCAGGACAUGUUGAAUCCCAAUAAUACCAAUACCGAUGCGUGGAACAACCUUGAAGCUCAGUACAAGCUGGUGACUUCGUGGAAACCGAAAGAGUUCAACCUCGUGUCUGCGAUUAAACCGUGCAAUCUGCACAAGAAUCGUAAUCAAGAUGUCAUUUCGAUCGAAACAGCUCGCGUUCACUUGACGCCGAAGCCCGGAAUCGAUGGAAGCGACUAUAUCAACGCUACAUGGAUUGCUGGCUUCCAUCGCAAUCGCGAGUUCAUCAUCACGCAACAUCCAAUGGAAAAUACAAUCAUGGAGUUCUGGCAGAUGAUGUGGGAUUACAAUGCACAAACUGUAGUCAUGUUAACCGAAUGUGACAAGGAGUAUCCCGAAUUUUGGCCUACCGAGGGUAAAGAUCUAGAGUCGGAGACCUUCCGUGUACGAUCUUGUGGAAUCAAAGAAACCGCGAGCGGAAUGAUCUUGCGCGAAGUCGCGGUCCGAUCUCUACAAGACGAUUACGAAUUAAGUGCCAAAAUCGUCCAAGGACCACGAUCUCAGCCUGGCUUUUGGCCACAUAACACCAACCCGCGACCCCUCGUAACUUUGAUCCAUGACUUACAUCGGGACUACCAAAACGGCCCUAUUGUUGUGAUGGAUAGGUUUGGCGGUGUCGAGGCUGCAAUCUUUAUUCUGCUUACAACAUUGAACAAACAGCUGGAGUUCGAGAAGAGUGCCGAUAUCUACAUGUUCGCAAAAUUACUGUACAUGAAACGGCCUGGAGUCUUUCGAUCAAAGGAGGAUUACGCGCUGUUGUACCAAUGUUUGGAAACCAUGCUGUCGUCAAAGAGUCACGACGAACCGGAUCUCUAUUCGAUGGCUAACGGUCACGUGUCCACGAUAACGGAUCCCGCCGACGAAGCCACCUCAUCGAUGCAACACAUGCAGAUGGAUUACUCUCCCAAGCCAUCCAUGAUGAGAGAAUACGCAACGGUGGAAGUGAACUCUAUGUCCGAUUACUCUAUCUCGAUCCGAGUGGACCAUUCGAUGGAACCGUGUAGUAGCAGAAGCAGCGAGAGCUGUAUGUUCACUCACGCGGGAAACGAGCACGAGAAGAACAUCGUUAUGACCCAUCGGAACGUAAGCUAUCACAAUCAUCCGGGCAGCGUCUCUGUCAUCGUUGACGCGAACGGUUACGUGACGAAUGGCAGCAUGCGUAUGAGACCCGAGGGCAUGGAGUCGAGCUGCAAGAUGUUGCCUCAAUGAUGCCUGCCGAUCUUCGGUUGCAGUGUUUCCUCGAGCCGGUCUGAGCCGCUGUAACCGAUCGAGCUCCUCACUGCCCGAAGUGUAAUCCUGAUUCUGCCACAGCGCAAGGAGUUCCAGAUUGGACACGUCUUCGCACAAACGGAAGAACGGCGAUUCGAUCCUAGGAUCAGCCUAAAGAGGACUCUCGAGCAUCUUUAGUGUAAAUAAUUAGUCGCGUUAGUUUGCACGCGUGUACGUAUAUGCUCUUGAGAACGUCGACUGACCGAGGGUAUGCGUACACGCGGUAUAGGAAAAAAGAAAGAAAAAUGGGGGUCCUGUUUCCGGUGUUGCUGGGUGCCAAAAACCACUUGUUAACGCACGCCACCCUGGACCUUCGUUUAACGUUGUUCAUCGUGUAAGUGUACACUUCUCGUUUUUGUAUAUACACACGUCGAGACACAUUCACUCGCAUACGUGCACACUUAUACAUAACCUCACUCACGGACACAUGUACACGCACCUCAUUUAUGACCACACGUCCAUACACACACACACACACACACACACAUGCGCACGUAUAUGGAUAUGUACGUGUAGUACCUUUAAGUUGGAUCACUCGACCACUUCUUUACCAAAGAAUCGUUUAUAUUCGUUCUCGUUUCGUUUUAAGUCCCUUCUUUCCAUGGUUUUAUCGUUCAGCUCAAGACCGACCAAUCGAAUUCGCAAUGUCGUGCACGCGUUCUGAUCGAGAACACGUACCGUCUUUUCGUGACAUACAAUUAGGGGGAAGAUGGCGCCGAUGAAAAAUUUGACGUAUUUAGUUCACGAAGAACUUUCUCCAACCUCUCUUCAUCCCUCUGUCUCUUUUCGCCGCAGCGAGCAUGCAAUGCCACAAGGAAUUGAGGAUCCAAACGUUCGUAAACGCGUCAUCGUGCGUCGAUUCGAUUCUUUCGAAGUUGUUCGAAGAAAAUAUGCAGCGGAAUGCAGGGAACGAUAUUUAACGAACGGAAAAGGGAAUUACGCGAGAAUCACGCGAAUAGGACGCGAUCAAAGUCGUGCAGACGAGGGUAUUCGAUGAUUAAUCGUGAUCGAUGAGAAUGGUAAUAAACCGUGACGAAUCGCAACUCGAUCGCUGUAAAUUAACUCGAUGGAACGUAGCUAACUGCCAAUGAGCGCGCGAAACCUGUUGCGCGAGCAUGUCGCGUCUGCGCGCGCACGUAAGGGAGAGAGAGAGAGAGAAAGAGAUUGCGAGCAAACGUGGUCUAUCUAACCUCUCGAUCUAAUUAAUUAAUGUCGUGAUCCAUUUCUAACGUGUAAGAUUCGAAUUAAGCGAAACGCGAAAAAUGUCCCGCGUGUAACUAGAAUUUUCUUCUCACGAUUACGAACCGCCAAGUUUCGUUGUCCCACGUGAUUUCCGCCAUGACCGACCGAGCAUUCGAGUCGCGACAGAAGAACAAGGAGAAAGCUACGGCGACGACAAUCUGAAGCGUUCGAUAAUUAACGAAAUUAAUACCCAAUCGCAGAACCUGCGCUCGGUGAUAUCAGGGAUAACCUUGAUCGGUGUAUAUCAACGAUAAAGCGGCUUAUAGAAUAACGCUGAUCAGAAUGUGAUCCAACGAGACUUUAUUGUGAUAUAAAAGAAAAAAGGGAAAAAAAAGGGAAAUACAAUUCGACACUGUUGUACCGUUUAUUCUAGCCACGAGUUCCUUUGCCGCGCGAUCAUUUUUCUAUCGAAUCUACCAUCCGGAAGACUGUUCUUUCAUCUAAGAUUCUUAUAUACACUUGUACGUACGAUAAGUCAGUAUACUUUACGUAACGCGAAAACGAAAACUGCCUGUGAACCGCGACACCUUCGAUCCAUCCUCUAUACGUGUUUUUCUACCAUCUUGUAUACGUUGUGACUAAAUCGCCGACGAAUGAUCAAUCGUCCCUCGUUUUUACCUUUUACUACCGUUUAACGAUCGACGACGUGGAAGAUUUAACGACAAAAAAAAGAAAAGACAUGAAAAAAUUUCAAAAAAAAAAAAAAAAAAAAGGAAAAAAAAUAUAUGUGUGUGCAUGUAUGUAACCGUGUCCGUGUUAAUAAGACGUAUGUAACCGUAAUCCACGACUGAACGACCUUUUAAACUCGUUAUCGGUUUUAACUCGAUGUCGAUGUAGCCUACUUUAAACGUAAAAGAAAACCGUGUGCUUCUUCCUUCGGGCUGAUCGACGCGAUGGAACGAGGAAUCAAGGUCUCGUUUCACAGCGAAAUAAUCAUUAUCGUUCUUAUCACCGUUUUUAACAUUCGACGAUACUCGGCACACCUUUAUCGAAAAAACUCCAAACGUUGAUCAGCGCGUUUCGAAAGCAGUUCGUGAAGGAUCCCGAAGGAAGAUUAUAAAACUUAGGUGUAGUUCGCGUGUCGGAAAGAUAGAGGGCAAAUACCCAGGCGAAGUUGUUGCGGUUUCGUUGGGUCGGCGGAGGAUCGGCAAAGCUGUAUUUCUUGCUAACUUUCGGACACGUCGGCGAAGCUAAGAAACGCGAUAACGAAGCGAUGAAAAGAGGGAGGGGGCGAAGGAGACACGCCAAGAAAAAUUAGGAAAGAAAAAAAAGAAAAAGUAUGAAAACGAAAAUAAAAUAGAAAAAAAAACGCGGGAAAGGCACGACAGAUGGGACAUUCGAUCUCUCGAUCUUUGGCUUUCUUGCCCUCUGUUCCACCAGAACGUACACUUUCGUUCAGCGAAUUCGAUCGUGGACACACGUUCGUGUCUUUCAUCGACACGACACUCGCGUGCAUCGUUUCGAUAGACGAAGGAACGUUGGUCGAUGAUUCAGUAACUAAGCGAGCGUGACCGCUUUGGAGCCUUACGACGAAGGCUUCUGACGAAUCAGAGAAACCGAGCCGACGUCCAGCAUCGAGCGCACAGCGUUCGCAUAGACCAAGGAGCUCGUUCGGUUCCCUCUCUUGCCGAUAAUCGCGAAUUUUUCACGAAUCUCGACGGAGAUUUCAUUACAAAAACCGGUGGAUACACGCUUCGUGGAGAGGGAACGAACGGCGGUGUUAGGGUCUGUUGCGUAUUAGCCGAUAAAAGAGUAGCAGGAUACGCGAGUAGCUCGAGCUGGACAGAAACAA
This 7125-nucleotide unclassified non-coding RNA is filed under the name Eufriesea mexicana. RNAcentral's name for it is "tyrosine-protein phosphatase 99A, transcript variant X2". The record is from RNAcentral. Lineage: Eukaryota; Metazoa; Arthropoda; Insecta; Hymenoptera; Apidae.